UACGUAGGGGGCAAGCGUUGUCCGGAAUUACUGGGCGUAAAGCGUGCGCAGGCGGUUUUGUAAGACCGAUGUGAAAUCCCCGGGCUCAACCUGGGAACUGCAUUGGUGACUGCAAGGCUUGAGUGUGUCAGAGGGAGGUGGAAUUCCGCGUGUAGCAGUGAAAUGCGUAGAUAUGCGGAGGAACACCGAUGGCGAAGGCAGUCCCCUGGGCCUGUACUGACGCUCAUGCACGAAAGCGUGGGGAGCAAACAGG
This 253-nucleotide ribosomal RNA is filed under the name uncultured bacterium. Its description in RNAcentral is "partial 16S ribosomal RNA". It matches the Rfam family "Bacterial small subunit ribosomal RNA", at positions 524 to 776 of the family's 1533-position model. The record is from RNAcentral.